This is a non-coding RNA of Nerophis ophidion (straightnose pipefish), 74 nucleotides long. The record is from the annotation of a RefSeq genome assembly. NCBI's taxonomy places the organism in Eukaryota, Metazoa, Chordata, Actinopteri, Syngnathiformes, Syngnathidae.
GGCCGGUUAGCUCAGUUGGUUAGAGUGAUGUGCUAUUGAUGCCAAGGUCAUGGGUUCGAUCCCCGUACUGGCCA